Molecule: small nucleolar RNA, 90 nt
Organism: Camellia sinensis
Lineage: Eukaryota; Viridiplantae; Streptophyta; Magnoliopsida; Ericales; Theaceae
Product: small nucleolar RNA snoR53Y
Source: RefSeq, a predicted model, not a curated record
GUUCCUUGUGAUGUUUGUAAGUCUGAUGACCAUGCUAAUUCUGAUCAAUCUGUGAUUGAAUUCUUAUUUGCUUGUUUUUCUGAGGGAACA